This 444-nucleotide ribosomal RNA is filed under the name uncultured bacterium. RNAcentral's name for it is "partial 16S ribosomal RNA". It matches the Rfam family "Bacterial small subunit ribosomal RNA", at positions 339 to 795 of the family's 1533-position model. The record is from RNAcentral.
CUACGGGUGGCACCAGUGGGGAAUAUUGCACAAUGGGCGCAAGCCUGGUGCAGCAACGCCGCGUGGGGGACGAAGGCCUUCGGGUUGUAAACCUCUUUUAGUAGGGAAGAAGCGCAAGUGACGGUACCUACAGAAAAAGCACCGGCUAACUACGUGCCAGCAGCCGCGGUAAUACGUAGGGUGCAAGCGUUGUCCGGAAUUAUUGGGCGUAAAGAGCUCGUAGGCGGUUUGUCGCGUCUGCUGUGAAAAUCCGAGGCUCAACCUCGGACCUGCAGUGGGUUCGGGCAAACUAGAGUGCGGUAGGGGAGAUUGGCAUUCCUGGUGUAGCGGUGGAAUGCGCAGAUAUCAGGAGGAACACCAGUGGCGAAGGCAGAUCUCUGGGCCGUAACUGACGCUGAGGAGCGAAAGCGUGGGGAGCGAACAGGAUUAGAUACCCCAGUAGUC